CCUACGGGGGGCAGCAGUGGGGAAUAUUGGACAAUGGGGGCAACCCUGAUCCAGCCAUGCCGCGUGUGUGAAGAAGGCCCUCGGGUUGUAAAGCACUUUCAGUGAGGAAGAACGCCUGGUGGUUAAUACCCAUCAGGAAAGACAUCACUCACAGAAGAAGCACCGGCUAACUCCGUGCCAGCAGCCGCGGUAAUACGGAGGGUGCGAGCGUUAAUCGGAAUUACUGGGCGUAAAGCGCGCGUAGGUGGCUUGAUAAGCCGGUUGUGAAAGCCCCGGGCUCAACCUGGGAACGGCAGCCGGAACUGUCAAGCUAGAGUGCAGGCGAGGAAGGUAGAAUUCCCGGUGUAGCGGUGAAAUGCGUAGAGAUCGGGAGGAAUACCAGUGGCGAAGGCGGCCUUCUGGACUGACACUGACACUGAGGUGCGAAAGCGUGGGUAGCAAACAGGAUUAGAUACCCCGGUAGUC
RNAcentral lists this ribosomal RNA (465 nucleotides) under Vreelandella stevensii. Its description in RNAcentral is "partial 16S ribosomal RNA". It matches the Rfam family "Bacterial small subunit ribosomal RNA", at positions 338 to 795 of the family's 1533-position model. Lineage: Bacteria; Pseudomonadati; Pseudomonadota; Gammaproteobacteria; Oceanospirillales; Halomonadaceae. The record is from RNAcentral.